Molecule: ribosomal RNA, 592 nt
Filed under: bacterium E-3-48-3D
Lineage: Bacteria
Description: bacterial SSU rRNA
Rfam family: Bacterial small subunit ribosomal RNA
Source: RNAcentral
AUGGACGAAAGUCUGACCGAGCAACGCCGCGUGAGUGAAGAAGGUGUUUCGGAUCGUAAAACUCUGUUGUCUAGAGAAGAACGAAGGAUGAGAGUAACUGUUGCAUCCCUUGACGGUAUCUAACCAGAAAGCCACGGCUAACUACGUGCCAGCAGCCGCGGUAAUACGUAGAGUGGCAAGCGUUGUGCCGGAUUUAUUGGGCGUAAAGCGAGCGCAGGCGGUUUGCGUUAAGUACUGAUGUGAAAGCCCCCGGCUCAACCGGGGAGGGUCAUUGGAAACUGGGAGACUUGAGUGCAGAAGAGGAGAGUGGAAUUCCAUGUGUAGCGGUGAAAUGCGUAGAUAUAUGGAGGAACACCAGUGGCGAAGGCGGCUCUCUGGUCUGUAACUGACGCUGAGGCUCGAAAGCGUGGGGAGCAAACAGGAUUAGAUACCCUGGUAGUCCACGCCGUAAACGAUGAGUGCUAAGUGUNGGAGGGUNUCCGCCCUUCAGUGCUGCAGCUAACGCAUCAAGCACUCCGCCUGGGGAGUACGACCGCAAGGUNGANACUCAAAGGAAUNGACGGGGGCCCGCACAAGCGGUGGAGCAUGUGGU